GGGUUGUGAGGUUAAGCGACUAAGCGUACACGGUGGAUGCCCUGGCAGUCAGAGGCGAUGAAGGACGUGCUAAUCUGCGAUAAGCGUCGGUAAGGUGAUAUGAACCGUUAUAACCGGCGAUUUCCGAAUGGGGAAACCCAGUGUGUUUCGACACACUAUCAUUAACUGAAUCCAUAGGUUAAUGAGGCGAACCGGGGGAACUGAAACAUCUAAGUACCCCGAGGAAAAGAAAUCAACCGAGAUUCCCCCAGUAGCGGCGAGCGAACGGGGAGCAGCCCAGAGCCUGAAUCAGUGUGUGUGUUAGUGGAAGCGUCUGGAAAGGCGCGCGAUACAGGGUGACAGCCCCGUACACAAAAAUGCACAUACUGUGAGCUCGAUGAGUAGGGCGGGACACGUGGUAUCCUGUCUGAAUAUGGGGGGACCAUCCUCCAAGGCUAAAUACUCCUGACUGACCGAUAGUGAACCAGUACCGUGAGGGAAAGGCGAAAAGAACCCCGGCGAGGGGAGUGAAAAAGAACCUGAAACCGUGUACGUACAAGCAGUGGGAGCCUCUUUAUGGGGUGACUGCGUACCUUUUGUAUAAUGGGUCAGCGACUUAUAUUCUGUAGCAAGGUUAACCGAAUAGGGGAGCCGAAGGGAAACCGAGUCUUAACUGGGCGUUAAGUUGCAGGGUAUAGACCCGAAACCCGGUGAUCUAGCCAUGGGCAGGUUGAAGGUUGGGUAACACUAACUGGAGGACCGAACCGACUAAUGUUGAAAAAUUAGCGGAUGACUUGUGGCUGGGGGUGAAAGGCCAAUCAAACCGGGAGAUAGCUGGUUCUCCCCGAAAGCUAUUUAGGUAGCGCCUCGUGAAUUCAUCUCCGGGGGUAGAGCACUGUUUCGGCAAGGGGGUCAUCCCGACUUACCAACCCGAUGCAAACUGCGAAUACCGGAGAAUGUUAUCACGGGAGACACACGGCGGGUGCUAACGUCCGUCGUGAAGAGGGAAACAACCCAGACCGCCAGCUAAGGUCCCAAAGUCAUGGUUAAGUGGGAAACGAUGUGGGAAGGCCCAGACAGCCAGGAUGUUGGCUUAGAAGCAGCCAUCAUUUAAAGAAAGCGUAAUAGCUCACUGGUCGAGUCGGCCUGCGCGGAAGAUGUAACGGGGCUAAACCAUGCACCGAAGCUGCGGCAGCGACACUAUGUGUUGUUGGGUAGGGGAGCGUUCUGUAAGCCUGUGAAGGUGUGCUGUGAGGCAUGCUGGAGGUAUCAGAAGUGCGAAUGCUGACAUAAGUAACGAUAAAGCGGGUGAAAAGCCCGCUCGCCGGAAGACCAAGGGUUCCUGUCCAACGUUAAUCGGGGCAGGGUGAGUCGACCCCUAAGGCGAGGCCGAAAGGCGUAGUCGAUGGGAAACAGGUUAAUAUUCCUGUACUUGGUGUUACUGCGAAGGGGGGACGGAGAAGGCUAUGUUGGCCGGGCGACGGUUGUCCCGGUUUAAGCGUGUAGGCUGGUUUUCCAGGCAAAUCCGGAAAAUCAAGGCUGAGGCGUGAUGACGAGGCACUACGGUGCUGAAGCAACAAAUGCCCUGCUUCCAGGAAAAGCCUCUAAGCAUCAGGUAACAUCAAAUCGUACCCCAAACCGACACAGGUGGUCAGGUAGAGAAUACCAAGGCGCUUGAGAGAACUCGGGUGAAGGAACUAGGCAAAAUGGUGCCGUAACUUCGGGAGAAGGCACGCUGAUAUGUAGGUGAAGUCCCUCGCGGAUGGAGCUGAAAUCAGUCGAAGAUACCAGCUGGCUGCAACUGUUUAUUAAAAACACAGCACUGUGCAAACACGAAAGUGGACGUAUACGGUGUGACGCCUGCCCGGUGCCGGAAGGUUAAUUGAUGGGGUCAGCGCAAGCGAAGCUCUUGAUCGAAGCCCCGGUAAACGGCGGCCGUAACUAUAACGGUCCUAAGGUAGCGAAAUUCCUUGUCGGGUAAGUUCCGACCUGCACGAAUGGCGUAAUGAUGGCCAGGCUGUCUCCACCCGAGACUCAGUGAAAUUGAACUCGCUGUGAAGAUGCAGUGUACCCGCGGCAAGACGGAAAGACCCCGUGAACCUUUACUAUAGCUUGACACUGAACAUUGAGCCUUGAUGUGUAGGAUAGGUGGGAGGCUUAGAAGUGUGGACGCCAGUCUGCAUGGAGCCGACCUUGAAAUACCACCCUUUAAUGUUUGAUGUUCUAACGUGGACCCGUGAUCCGGGUUGCGGACAGUGUCUGGUGGGUAGUUUGACUGGGGCGGUCUCCUCCUAAAGAGUAACGGAGGAGCACGAAGGUUGGCUAAUCCUGGUCGGACAUCAGGAGGUUAGUGCAAUGGCAUAAGCCAGCUUGACUGCGAGCGUGACGGCGCGAGCAGGUGCGAAAGCAGGUCAUAGUGAUCCGGUGGUUCUGAAUGGAAGGGCCAUCGCUCAACGGAUAAAAGGUACUCCGGGGAUAACAGGCUGAUACCGCCCAAGAGUUCAUAUCGACGGCGGUGUUUGGCACCUCGAUGUCGGCUCAUCACAUCCUGGGGCUGAAGUAGGUCCCAAGGGUAUGGCUGUUCGCCAUUUAAAGUGGUACGCGAGCUGGGUUUAGAACGUCGUGAGACAGUUCGGUCCCUAUCUGCCGUGGGCGCUGGAGAACUGAGGGGGGCUGCUCCUAGUACGAGAGGACCGGAGUGGACGCAUCACUGGUGUUCGGGUUGUCAUGCCAAUGGCACUGCCCGGUAGCUAAAUGCGGAAGAGAUAAGUGCUGAAAGCAUCUAAGCACGAAACUUGCCCCGAGAUGAGUUCUCCCUGACCCUUUAAGGGUCCUGAAGGAACGUUGAAGACGACGACGUUGAUAGGCCGGGUGUGUAAGCGCAGCGAUGCGUUGAGCUAACCGGUACUAAUGAACCGUGAGGCUUAACCUUACAACGCCGAAGCUGUU
RNAcentral lists this ribosomal RNA (2928 nucleotides) under Escherichia coli. RNAcentral describes it as "23S ribosomal RNA". It matches the Rfam family "Bacterial large subunit ribosomal RNA". The record is from RNAcentral. Lineage: Bacteria; Pseudomonadati; Pseudomonadota; Gammaproteobacteria; Enterobacterales; Enterobacteriaceae.